AUGUCUGAGAAACUGCCUGAUGUAGGCGCGAUAACAUAGCUGGAAACGGUAGCUAAUACCGCAUAACGUCGCAAGACCAAAGUGGGGGACCUUCGGGCCUCAUGCCAUCAGAUGUGCCCAGAUGGGAUUAGCUAGUAGGUGGGGUAACGGCUCACCUAGGCGACGAUCCCUAGCUGGUCUGAGAGGAUGACCAGCCACACUGGAACUGAGACACGGUCCAGACUCCUACGGGAGGCAGCAGUGGGGAAUAUUGCACAAUGGGCGCAAGCCUGAUGCAGCCAUGCCGCGUGUGUGAAGAAGGCCUUCGGGUUGUAAAGUACUUUCAGCGGGGAGGAAGGCGAUAAGGUUAAUAACCUUGUCGAUUGACGUUACCCGCAGAAGAAGCACCGGCUAACUCCGUGCCAGCAGCCGCGGUAAUACGGAGGGUGCAAGCGUUAAUCGGAAUUACUGGGCGUAAAGCGCACGCAGGCGGUCUGUCAAGUCGGAUGUGAAAUCCCCGGGCUCAACCUGGGANACUGCAUUCGAAACUGGCAGGCUAGAGUCUUGUAGAG
RNAcentral lists this ribosomal RNA (551 nucleotides) under uncultured bacterium. RNAcentral's name for it is "bacterial SSU rRNA". It matches the Rfam family "Bacterial small subunit ribosomal RNA", at positions 113 to 656 of the family's 1533-position model. The record is from RNAcentral.